GGGUAUAGCUCAGUGGUAGAGUGUGUGCCUAGCAUGUAUGAUGUCCUGGGUUCAAUCCUCAGUACAGCCA
Molecule: transfer RNA, 70 nt
Filed under: Camelus bactrianus (Bactrian camel)
Lineage: Eukaryota; Metazoa; Chordata; Mammalia; Artiodactyla; Camelidae
Also listed under: 2 other names
Rfam family: tRNA
About the family: Transfer RNA (tRNA) molecules are approximately 80 nucleotides in length. Their secondary structure includes four short double-helical elements and three loops (D, anti-codon, and T loops).
Source: Rfam by way of RNAcentral